Felis catus (domestic cat) is the source of this 338-nucleotide long non-coding RNA. RefSeq lists it as uncharacterized. The record is from RefSeq and is a predicted model, not a curated record. Lineage: Eukaryota; Metazoa; Chordata; Mammalia; Carnivora; Felidae. The transcript has 3 exons.
ACCUCCUUCUGCUGAGGCUUCUUGUGCUACAAGCAGCUGGGAAGCGAAAGGCCCUGUUUUCCCAGAAUCCCAUGCAGCUGGAGUUCUGAAUGCCUGUUGGAUGCCCUCACGCCAGGCAUGGAAGUUGGGCGUGAAGGAGAAGCGAUUUUCCUGCUGCUGCACCAGUCCUCUGGGGGUUGAAACCUUCUUGGAAGAAUAAUAUAAGCUGGUAUCUGCAGCUAGAUGGACCCCUCAAGCCCUCCCAAGAUUGUCUGCUUUCUUCCUCCUCGAAGUGUACUUCCAGAGCAAUACCAGUCUGCAAACUGUUUAUUACUGGUCUACGACAAUGUAAGUACAGC